This 485-nucleotide ribosomal RNA is filed under the name uncultured bacterium. RNAcentral describes it as "bacterial SSU rRNA". It matches the Rfam family "Bacterial small subunit ribosomal RNA", at positions 30 to 507 of the family's 1533-position model. The record is from RNAcentral.
AUUGAACGCUGGCGGCAUGCUUUACACAUGCAAGUCGAACGGCAGCGCGGGGGCAACCCUGGCGGCGAGUGGCGAACGGGUGAGUAAUGUAUCGGAACGUAUCCUGUAAUAGGGGAUAACCAGUCGAAAGAUUGGGUAAUACCGCAUACGCACGAGAGUGGAAAGUAGGGGAUCGCAAGACCUUACGUUAUAGAAGCGGCCGAUAUCUGAUUAGCUAGUUGGUGGGGUAAAGGCCUACCAAGGCGACGAUCAGUAGCUGGUCUGAGAGGACGACCAGCCACACUGGGACUGAGACACGGCCCAGACUCCUACGGGAGGCAGCAGUGGGGAAUUUUGGACAAUGGGCGAAAGCCUGAUCCAGCCAUGCCGCGUGCAGGAAGAAGGCCUUCGGGUUGUAAACUGCUUUAGUCUAGGAAAAAGGGGUGCGAGGUUAAUACCCUCGUGCUUUGAUGGUACUGGAAGAAUAAGCACCGGCUAACUACGUG